UACAGAGGUGCCAAGCGUUGUUCGGAUUUAUUGGGCGUAAAGGGUGCGUAGGCGGCCAUACAAGUCGGGUGUGAAAUCCCGGAGCUUAACUCCGGAAUGGCAUUCGAAACUGUAUGGCUCGAGAUCUGGAGAGGUGAUUGGAAUUCUCGGUGUAGCAGUGAAAUGCGUAGAUAUCGAGAGGAACACCAGAGGCGAAAGCGGCUUCCUGGACCAGUACCGACGUUCAGGCACGAAAGCGUGGGGAGCAAACAGG
This 253-nucleotide ribosomal RNA is filed under the name uncultured bacterium. RNAcentral describes it as "partial 16S ribosomal RNA". It matches the Rfam family "Bacterial small subunit ribosomal RNA", at positions 524 to 776 of the family's 1533-position model. The record is from RNAcentral.